CAUUUAAGAGAUGCGUCGUCGACUUAGCUAGGUAAAAACGUAAUUUAAGGCACUACGUAGAAAUAAAAUUAGCGUUAUGUUUGAAAAUAUAUGGGUUUCAUUUGUUCCUCCCUG
Long non-coding RNA from Branchiostoma belcheri (Belcher's lancelet), 114 nucleotides. RefSeq lists it as uncharacterized. The transcript has 3 exons. Lineage: Eukaryota; Metazoa; Chordata; Leptocardii; Amphioxiformes; Branchiostomatidae. The record is from RefSeq and is a predicted model, not a curated record.